CUUUGGUUCCCAUGUCAUCAUUCUAAAGCUUUCAAAGUGGAAAGGGAGCAAAGGGUCAGGAAAAAUGAUGGCCUCUCAGCUACCCAGCACAAGUUUCCCACACCAGGCGUGAUUAGCUGGAACAGAUAUUCUCUCUCAGUUCUGGAAGCAGGUCUGUCACGCUAAGCACACCAAGAAAACCCCUCAGAGUCGCCAUUUUCUUAUAACACAGAAUGUGGCUCCGAUAAUGCCUCUCACAUUCCAGAGGAUCAAGUCAGUAUCUAGCUGAAGAAGAUGGCAACAACAGAUUUACUCACCCGGCUGCUUUAGGGCUGCUUCAUCCCGUUUGCAACACCAGGUUCCAGCUUCCUGUAUGUUCUGCUAAUGGUAGAGUGGUUCCACCCAGGAUGACUAAGAGCCAACUCCUCCAGGAAGCCUGAGAUCUCAUCCCGCACCCAUCGCUCAGGAACACAUUGCUAUGAGAGGACACUGAGCACACUGCCAGGAGGAAGCAAGCAGUACCUUGGAAUGCAGAGGCCUUCAAAGCACA
This is a long non-coding RNA of Grammomys surdaster, 529 nucleotides long. RefSeq lists it as uncharacterized. The record is from RefSeq and is a predicted model, not a curated record. Lineage: Eukaryota; Metazoa; Chordata; Mammalia; Rodentia; Muridae. The transcript is spliced from 3 exons.